Long non-coding RNA from Microtus oregoni (creeping vole), 826 nucleotides. RefSeq lists it as uncharacterized. The record is from RefSeq and is a predicted model, not a curated record. The transcript is spliced from 3 exons. NCBI's taxonomy places the organism in Eukaryota, Metazoa, Chordata, Mammalia, Rodentia, Cricetidae.
UAUAAAUUUGGGGGAACCGCCUUCACCCUCUGCCUCCUCCCACAUUAAGCACAAGAGUUACAUCUAAGCUCAACUUUCAGUCAUUUCUUCAUGCCUCUCUACCGUCUGUAAGAUGAAGGUGCAAAAAACAGUCUUCAAUUACAACAGAGAAUUUUCCACAAAUCUCCUUGCAGGAUAACACAACUGGAAGACAAGUUUGUUUUGAGGACUCCACAGAUUAUCCAGAGAGGAAUGGACAAGGCUCAUCGCCUGGCUCACAGUUGGGAGUGCAUGCUGAGUUUGCCUCCAGGGGGCGCCGCAGCCGGUUUCUAGUCUGCCCAGGCUUGGACUCCUUCCAUGAUCCCCAGAAAAAUACUUCAGCAUAAUAGACCAUUUCCUUCUCACAGCAAAUGCCUGUGUUUGAGAUGUCUCAGGGGCCAGAUGAACAAUAUUAAAACAAAGCAAUAUCAAACCAACAGAAGCAGAGCAGCAAGGAGUGAGACAUUAUCACAAAGUGGAGGACAUCGAUGAGAAGCAACAGCUGAGUACCAGGCCUCUUCUGACCACUUGCCUCCAGACCACGCUGGUUGAGCUACAGCAACCUCCUGGGAUCCUCAGGCACGCUCCAUCCCUCUGCUGAACAGUAUACUUUUAUCAAAAUCAACGAUGCAUACUGAAGUGAGUUGUCCCAAAGCAGAGGCCAGACGCUGCUUCUCUGAUCACAAGAUCUGGCAAACAGCCCAGUCAUGGGCAGGUACUAAACAGAAGGGAAUCAAUCAAAGGAAGGGGCUCAUGGGAUAAAAUGGGCAUAGUUCUAUCUACAUUGUGCAGUGUGGCCAGAUGAGAU